GCUUAUACUCGACCGUCAGCGGCACGUGCGAUCGCGCCCGCGAGGGCCGGUCACGAAGCCCUGACGAGUAGGAGGGUCGCGGCGGUGAGCGCAGAAGGGCUGGCCGCGAGGCCGUCUGGAGCCGCCGUCGGUGCAGAUCUUGGUGGUAGUAGCAAAUACUCCAGCGAGGCCCUGGAGGACUGACGUGGAGAAGGGUUUCGUGUGAACAGCCGUUGCACACGAGUCAGUCGAUCCUAAGCCCUAGGCGAAAGCCGAUGUCGAUGCGGUGUAGUUUUACUAACUAAUAUUAUUAUAUAAUAAAAAUAGUAUGUGGCACACACCCGUCGGGCGAAAGGGAAUCCGGUUCCUAUUCCGGAACCUGGCAGCGGAACCGUCAAUAAGUCGGGC
RNAcentral lists this ribosomal RNA (387 nucleotides) under Calacalles pusillus. RNAcentral describes it as "eukaryotic LSU rRNA". It matches the Rfam family "Eukaryotic large subunit ribosomal RNA", at positions 1340 to 1663 of the family's 3401-position model. The record is from RNAcentral. Lineage: Eukaryota; Metazoa; Arthropoda; Insecta; Coleoptera; Curculionidae.